UGGGGAAUAUUGGACAAUGGGCGCAAGCCUGAUCCAGCCAUACCGCGUGGGUGAAGAAGGCCUUCGGGUUGUAAAGCCCUUUUGUUGGGAAAGAAAUCCAGCCGGCUAAUACCUGGUUGGGAUGACGGUACCCAAAGAAUAAGCACCGGCUAACUUCGUGCCAGCAGCCGCGGUAAUACGAAGGGUGCAAGCGUUACUCGGAAUUACUGGGCGUAAAGCGUGCGUAGGUGGUUAUUUAAGUCCGUUGUGAAAGCCCUGGGCUUAACCUGGGAACUGCAGUGGAUACUGGAUGACUAGAAUGUGGUAGAGGGUAGCGGAAUUCCUGGUGUAGCAGUGAAAUGCGUAGAGAUCAUGAGGAACAUCCAUGGCGAAGGCAGCUACCUGGACCAACAUUGACACUGAGGCACGAAAGCGUGGGGAGCAAACA
RNAcentral lists this ribosomal RNA (427 nucleotides) under uncultured bacterium. RNAcentral's name for it is "partial 16S ribosomal RNA". It matches the Rfam family "Bacterial small subunit ribosomal RNA", at positions 355 to 774 of the family's 1533-position model. The record is from RNAcentral.